GAUAACAGGAUCCAGUAGGGGAUCCUAUUUUUCAUUUGCCUUUUGCUGCUAUCUAACCAUUAGAGGAAUGGUCUGUAGUUCACCAAUCAAGAUGUUUUCCUUACAGAGUAUAAUUUUUUUCAAAGCCCAGAAUUUGACAAGUAUUGGAGAAGCAAUAUAAAAGAGGAGAUACCGAGAAGAAGGAGACUGCACAGAGACACCUUUGCGGAAAAAAUGGUACAAUGGUACUUGGCUGGAGAGUCAGAUGAGGACACUAGGAGCCCAAGAGAAGAAGCCACAUUUGCUGAACAACUAAAUGAGGACCCUCCUCUUCCAUGUCCUUUUCCCUUCCACCUUCUCUAGAAGACUCUACCUGUUUUAAAUUAUCAGCCAGAAACACAACGUACACACAGCAGAAGCCCAGCUGGGUGACUAUAAGGAAGAAGCUCACGAUAUGCCUGGAAGAGAAGGGAGAGAGAGAAAACACAUUAUAAAAGACGAGUUGAUUUGUCAA
Panthera uncia (snow leopard) is the source of this 493-nucleotide long non-coding RNA. RefSeq lists it as uncharacterized. The record is from RefSeq and is a predicted model, not a curated record. The transcript has 2 exons. Lineage: Eukaryota; Metazoa; Chordata; Mammalia; Carnivora; Felidae.